Molecule: ribosomal RNA, 596 nt
Filed under: Oceanobacillus sp.
Lineage: Bacteria; Bacillati; Bacillota; Bacilli; Caryophanales; Bacillaceae
Description: bacterial SSU rRNA
Rfam family: Bacterial small subunit ribosomal RNA
Source: RNAcentral
UCGAGCGCAGCAGCAGCUGAUCCCCUUCGGGGGUGACGCUUGUGGAGUGAGCGGCGGACGGGUGAGUAACACGUGGGCAACCUGCCUGUAAGACUGGGAUAACCCCGGGAAACCGGGGCUAAUACCGGAUAAUACUUUCUUUUGCAUAAAGGAAAGUUGAAAGGCGGCUUCGGCUGUCACUUACAGAUGGGCCCGCGGCGCAUUAGCUAGUUGGUGAGGUAACGGCUCACCAAGGCGACGAUGCGUAGCCGACCUGAGAGGGUGAUCGGCCACACUGGGACUGAGACACGGCCCAGACUCCUACGGGAGGCAGCAGUAGGGAAUCUUCCGCAAUGGACGAAAGUCUGACGGAGCAACGCCGCGUGAGUGAUGAAGGUUUUCGGAUCGUAAAACUCUGUUGUUAGGGAAGAACAAGUUGGAUAGUAACUGACCCAACCUUGACGGUACCUAACCAGAAAGCCACGGCUAACUACGUGCCAGCAGCCGCGGUAAUACGUAGGUGGCAAGCGUUGUCCGGAAUUAUUGGGCGUAAAGCGCUCGCAGGCGGUCCUUUAAGUCUGAUGUGAAAUCUCGCGGCUCAACCGCGAACGGUCAUU